AGCUCAAAUUUAAAAUCUGGCGUCUUUCAGGCGUCCGAGUUGUAAUCUAUAGAGGCGUUUUCCGCGCCGGACCGCGUCCAAGUCUCUUGGAAUAGAGUAUCAAAGAGGGUGACAAUCCCGUACUUGACGCGACAACCGGUGCUCUGUGAUACGUUCUCAAUGAGUCGAGUUGUUUGGGAAUGCAGCUCUAAAUGGGUGGUAAAUUCCAUCUAAGGCUAAAUAUUGGCGAGAGACCGAUAGCGAACAAGUACCGUGAGGGAAAGAUGAAAAGCACUUUGGAAAGAGAGUUAAACAGCACGUGAAAUUGUUAAAAGGGAAACGAUUGAAGUCAGUCGUGUGAAAGGUAUUCAGCCGUCUCUGGCGGUGUAUUUGCCUUUCACGGGUCAACAUCAGUUUGAUCCGGUAGAAAAAGGCGGGAGGAAGGUGGCACCCUCGGGUGUGUUAUAGCCUCCUGUCAUAUGUGCCGGACCAGACUGAGGAACGCAGCUUGCCGCAAGGCCGGGGUUCGCCCACGUACAAGCUUAGGAUGUUGACA
Molecule: ribosomal RNA, 535 nt
Filed under: Vishniacozyma victoriae
Lineage: Eukaryota; Fungi; Basidiomycota; Tremellomycetes; Tremellales; Bulleribasidiaceae
Description: partial large subunit ribosomal RNA
Rfam family: Eukaryotic large subunit ribosomal RNA
Source: RNAcentral